UGACGCCGUUGACUACAAUAUACUGUUGAGCUUACAAAGACAGGCAAGCAAUUAAGAACAUGACCUCUGGUGGAAACAAGAUGCAGAACCUGAUGAUGACAGAAUGUGGAGGAAAGGUAAAAGACUAUGUUUGCCACAAGUAUUGUACCCCAUGAUGGUCCAGAUUGCCCAUGGACCUACACAUCUAUCCAAGAUGCACAUGAACAGCAUAGUAAAUACCCAUUGGGUAGCACCCGGAAUCAGUGGCGGAUCCAGAGCCUGAUCUCGGGAGGGGCACUUGUAGAUUAUUUAAUUAAAUAAUCCAGGCACAAUAACCACUACAGCUCAGUGUAGUAGUUAUGGUGUCAGUAGUGCCAGGAUUCCACCCCAGAGUAAGUAGUCAUACCGUUUAAGAACAGUUUGACAACUUAUCUGGGGUCUGCUGGGAUAUAGG
This is a non-coding RNA of Pelobates cultripes (western spadefoot toad), 433 nucleotides long. Lineage: Eukaryota; Metazoa; Chordata; Amphibia; Anura; Pelobatidae. The record is from the annotation of a GenBank genome assembly.